Molecule: ribosomal RNA, 441 nt
Filed under: uncultured bacterium
Lineage: Bacteria
Description: partial 16S ribosomal RNA
Rfam family: Bacterial small subunit ribosomal RNA
Source: RNAcentral
CCUACGGGUGGCUGCAGUGGGGAAUAUUGCACAAUGGGGGAAACCCUGAUGCAGCGACGCCGCGUGAGUGAAGAAGUAUUUCGGUAUGUAAAGCUCUAUCAGCAGGGAAGAAAAAAGACGGUACCUGACUAAGAAGCCCCGGCUAACUACGUGCCAGCAGCCGCGGUAAUACGUAGGGGGCAAGCGUUAUCCGGAAUUACUGGGUGUAAAGGGUGCGUAGGUGGCAUGGUAAGUCAGAAGUGAAAGCCCGGGGCUUAACCCCGGGACUGCUUUUGAAACUGUCAUGCUGGAGUGCAGGAGAGGUAAGCGGAAUUCCUAGUGUAGCGGUGAAAUGCGUAGAUAUCUGGAGGAACAUCAGUGGCGAAGGCGACUAUCUGGCACAUAACUGACGCUGAGGAGCGAAAGCGUGGGUAGCAAACAGGAUUAGAUACCCGUGUAGUC